This 414-nucleotide ribosomal RNA is filed under the name Clostridioides difficile. RNAcentral's name for it is "bacterial SSU rRNA". It matches the Rfam family "Bacterial small subunit ribosomal RNA", at positions 1 to 422 of the family's 1533-position model. Lineage: Bacteria; Bacillati; Bacillota; Clostridia; Peptostreptococcales; Peptostreptococcaceae. The record is from RNAcentral.
UUUUAUUUGAGAGUUUGAUCCUGGCUCAGGAUGAACGCUGGCGGCGUGCCUAACACAUGCAAGUUGAGCGAUUUACUUCGGUAAAGAGCGGCGGACGGGUGAGUAACGCGUGGGUAACCUACCCUGUACACACGGAUAACAUACCGAAAGGUAUGCUAAUACGGGAUAAUAUAUUUGAGAGGCAUCUCUUGAAUAUCAAAGGUGAGCCAGUACAGGAUGGACCCGCGUCUGAUUAGCUAGUUGGUAAGGUAACGGCUUACCAAGGCGACGAUCAGUAGCCGACCUGAGAGGGUGAUCGGCCACAUUGGAACUGAGACACGGUCCAAACUCCUACGGGAGGCAGCAGUGGGGAACAUUGCACAAUGGGCGAAAGCCUGAUGCAGCAACGCCGCGUGAGUGAUGAAGGCCUUCGGG